AUCAUUUUCCAAACCAAAUAAAUUUUAUUAGUUGUUGAGGGAGAACAUGCUAUCACAAGUGAAGCCGAGAGGCAGGGAGUGCAGGCCUACGUGUGGAGCCUGCCCUCGCGUCCUCUGAGCCCCGCAGGCGGAGGGCAGGCAGCUCCUCGCUGAGUGCCUCGCUGCCUUGCCAGCCAGCUCUGCAACAGUGCUUUCGGGUUUCACAGUGGAUGCCAAGGGACGCGGUCCUCUAGCUUCCCUUGAACUCCACUCUCGUUGAGAGAGUCGUCAGGACAUAAAGGCUGCUAAGGCUGUAUUCUGUGGUGGAAUGCAUCCCCAGAGAAAUCAGAAAUGGAGCCGUCACGGGGAAAGGCAAGAACAUUCGACUUAAGAGUAAAUAUUCUGCACGGUUUCUGUGGAGUGAGAGAAAUUUCUGAGGACAGCUGAUGGGUGACUGCAAGCAAUGUACAUUCAGUAGAAUUCGUACUUCAAAUUUUGAUCUUGCAUGCUGAGGAGUGGCAGCCAACGUGGCUUCCAGUCUGCCACUUGAUCACCAGGUUGAAUCAUCAAAACUCUACUGCCCAUGUGUUGCCAAGGCCAGCGCGGCGGCUCACUUGGCUAAUCCUCAACCUGCGGCACCGGCACCCUGGGUUCUAGUCCUGGUUGGGGCACCGGAUUCUGUCCCGGUUGCUCCUCUUCCAGUCCAGCUCUCUGCUGUGGCCUGGGAAGGCAGUGGAGGAUGGCCCAAGUGCUUCGGCCCUGCACCUGCAUGGGAGACCAGGAGGAAGCACCUGGCUCCUGGCUUUGGAUCAACGCAGCGUGCCAGCCGUAGCGGCCAUUUAGGGGGUGAACCAACGGAAGGAAGACCUUUCUCUCUAACUCUGCCUGUCCAAAAAAAAACGUCUUUCCAUAACAUUUACUGGAUUCAGUGUAAACUCUAACAUUUGUAAAAUGUCUGUAUUUCUAAAAGUGUUCUGAAACAACAUUUACCUAAAUCUUUAAGCAGUUGUUGAUGGUAUUAUUCUCAUUUUACCAAUAAGAAAGUAGUUCAAAUUGCCCACAUGGCUGUCUGUGAGCAACCUGCUUGCAAGUAGGCAAAACAACCUCUCCGAAGA
Long non-coding RNA from Oryctolagus cuniculus (rabbit), 1094 nucleotides. RefSeq lists it as uncharacterized. The record is from RefSeq and is a predicted model, not a curated record. Lineage: Eukaryota; Metazoa; Chordata; Mammalia; Lagomorpha; Leporidae.